Molecule: ribosomal RNA, 346 nt
Filed under: uncultured bacterium
Lineage: Bacteria
Description: partial 16S ribosomal RNA
Rfam family: Bacterial small subunit ribosomal RNA
Source: RNAcentral
CCUACGGGAGGCAGCAGUGAGGAAUAUUGGUCAAUGGGCGCGAGCCUGAACCAGCCAAGUAGCGUGAAGGAUGACUGCCCUACGGGUUGUAAACUUCUUUUAUAAAGGAAUAAAGUGAGGCACGUGUGCCGUUGUGUAUGUACGGUAUGAAUAAGGAUCGGCUAACUCCGUGCCAGCAGCCGCGGUAAUACGGAGGAUCCGAGCGUUAUCCGGAUUUAUUGGGUUUAAAGGGAGCGUAGAUGGGUUGUUAAGUCAGUUGUGAAAGUUUGCGGCUCAACCGUAAAAUUGCAAUUGAUACUGGCAGCCUUUAGUACAGUUGCGUUAGGCGUAAUUCGUGGUGUAGCGG